AUUUAUUUCAGAGUGAAAAAUAAAAAAUAUAUUUAUAAACCAGAUAUAAUUGUAUCAACUGAAACGUGGCGUGAUACACAUUCUCGUAACAUGUUAUUACCAGGUUGACGUGUACUUUUCAAAAAUAAAAUUAAACCGAAACGACGGUGUUUCAGUUUUUUAGGAGAAUAAUUUAUCUUUAGAUUUUUUUUUUUUUUUUAGUUUAGUUUAUUUAAAGCCGCGUCCAGACUAGACGACCAAGGGUAUCAAAGGUACGUGUGACGACCUCAUUCGGCGAUACAUGUUGGUCUCGGUGUGGACAGCGCGACCGAACGAAUGCCAACGGCGAACGUGACUUCGCUCGGAGAGCGGUACAUCAAAGGAAUUCGCUAUCGGUUUGGACGAGAUUUGUUUUUUUAUUAGUCUUCGUCGACAUUUGAUCCGAACGAGUGCCGUGUUGAUUCUAAUAAUAUUUAAUGUAUCAAUAAUUAUGUUAUUAAAUUAUAAUGAUAAGUACUCAUAUUUAAAUAUUUAAUUUAUAUUUUAGAUCCCGAAUGGAGCGAAGAAGCUUAUGGUUUUAUAAAGAUGUUUAUUUUCUCUUAUCUGCGAGCGACUUUUCAACCAGAAUACUUGCUCGGAUUUCUGAGUGUUGCACCUUUUCUGAAAGGAAAUCGGUGAGGAGAGGUACUUUAGAAAUAUUCUCAUAAAAUUUGAAAAACUGGGAUAAAACAUGGAAAAAACGUAGGAAAUCGAAAGGAAAAUCGGUACAACAUUAAACAAAUAUUAUUAAAGAAAAUGUAUAAAGCCUAUUUAUUUUAUUUUUUUUUUACUAUAAAAUGAC
This is a non-coding RNA of Cinara cedri, 820 nucleotides long. The record is from the annotation of a GenBank genome assembly. Lineage: Eukaryota; Metazoa; Arthropoda; Insecta; Hemiptera; Aphididae.